ACUACGCCUUCCACGUGCACCACUGCCUCUUCCCUUCUCGCUUGGGAACUCUAGUCUCGCCUCGGGUUGCAAUGGACCCCAACUGCUCCUGCGCCGCUGGUGUCUCCUGCGCCUGCACUGCCUCCUUGCAAGUGCAAACAGUGCAAAUGCACCUCCUGCAAGAAGAGCUGCUGCUCCUGCUGCCCUGUGGGCUGUGCCAAGUGUGCCCAGGGCUGCAUCUGCAAAGGGGUGUCAGAGAAGUGCAGCUGCUGUGCCUGAUGUCGGGACAGCCCUUCUCCCAAGUACAA
Molecule: RNA transcript, 287 nt
Organism: Symphalangus syndactylus (siamang)
Lineage: Eukaryota; Metazoa; Chordata; Mammalia; Primates; Hylobatidae
Gene name: metallothionein-1F-like
Source: RefSeq, a predicted model, not a curated record